GAUGAAGAACGUAGCGAAAUGCGAUAAGUAAUGUGAAUUGCAGAAUUCAGUGAAUCAUCGAAUCUUUGAACGCACAUUGCGCCCGCCAGCAUUCUGGUGGGCAUGCCUGUUCGAGCGUCAUUUCAACCCUCAAGCUCUGCUUGGUGUUGGGGCCCUACGGUUGACGUAGGCCCUUAAAGGUAGUGGCGGACCCUCUCGGAGCCUCCUUUGCGUAGUAACUAACGUCUCGCAUUGGGAUUCGGAGGGACUCUUGCCGUAAAACCCCCAAAUUUUCUAAUGGUUGACCUCGGAUCAGGUAGGAAUACCCGCUGAACUUAAGCAUAUCAAUAAGCGGAGGA
Molecule: unclassified non-coding RNA, 338 nt
Filed under: soil metagenome
Description: partial contains 5.8S ribosomal RNA, internal transcribed spacer 2, and large subunit ribosomal RNA
Rfam family: 5.8S ribosomal RNA (bases 1-120)
Source: RNAcentral